GAUGAACGCUGGCGGCGUGCCUAAUACAUGCAAGUCGAGCGAACAGACGAGGAGCUUGCUCCUCUGACGUUAGCGGCGGACGGGUGAGUAACACGUGGAUAACCUACCUAUAAGACUGGGAUAACUUCGGGAAACCGGAGCUAAUACCGGAUAAUAUAUUGAACCGCAUGGUUCAAUAGUGAAAGACGGUUUUGCUGUCACUUAUAGAUGGAUCCGCGCCGCAUUAGCUAGUUGGUAAGGUAACGGCUUACCAAGGCAACGAUGCGUAGCCGACCUGAGAGGGUGAUAGGCCACACUGGAACUGAGACACGGUCCAGACUCCUACGGGAGGCAGCAGUAGGGAAUCUUCCGCAAUGGGCGAAAGCCUGACGGGGCAACGCCGCGUGAGUGAUGAAGGUCUUCGGAUCGUAAAACUCUGUUAUUAGGGAAGAACAAAUGUGUAAGUAACUAUGCACGUCUUGACGGUACCUAAUCAGAAAGCCACGGCUAACUACGUG
RNAcentral lists this ribosomal RNA (497 nucleotides) under uncultured bacterium. RNAcentral describes it as "partial 16S ribosomal RNA". It matches the Rfam family "Bacterial small subunit ribosomal RNA", at positions 28 to 507 of the family's 1533-position model. The record is from RNAcentral.